GAGUUUGAUCGUGGCUCAGAACGAACGCUGGCGGCAUGCCUAACACAUGCAAGUCGAACGAAGGCUUCGGCCUUAGUGGCGCACGGGUGCGUAACGCGUGGGAAUCUGCCCUUUGCUUCGGAAUAACAGUGGGAAACUACUGCUAAUACCGGAUGAUGUCUUCGGACCUAAAGAUUUAUCGGCAAAGGGAUGAGCCCGCGUAGGAUUAGGUAGUUGGUGGGUAAAGGCCUACCAAGCCGACGAUCCUUAGCUGGUCUGAGA
This 261-nucleotide ribosomal RNA is filed under the name uncultured Alphaproteobacteria bacterium. RNAcentral describes it as "partial 16S ribosomal RNA". It matches the Rfam family "Bacterial small subunit ribosomal RNA", at positions 9 to 297 of the family's 1533-position model. The record is from RNAcentral. Lineage: Bacteria; Pseudomonadati; Pseudomonadota; Alphaproteobacteria.